GUCGAGUGGCAAGUGGACCUCGGUGGUAUUCGCAGUGUCUACAAAAUCAGGAUAUUGUUUAAAAGCUAUGGCGAAAAGUAUGUAUCAAGGCAACGUGGGCGAUUUGCAGGUUUUUCACUACACCUCUCAAAUUCUACAAAUAAAGAAGAUGGUUAUGUCUGUUACAAAGAUGGACCCAAGUUACCUUCAUUGGAUUUUAAUACAACAUGUGUGGGCCAUGCACGGUAUCUAACUUUUUACAAUGAAAGAUCAGACAAUAAAGCCUACCCAGACGGUUAUGAAAGGUAUUCAGUCACUGAACUCUGCGAAGUAAUUGUUCAAGGUUGUGAACAAGAAGUGUAUGGGCCAAACUGCACACUGCCUUGUCCAGAUAAUUGCCAAGAACGCAGAUGUAACGUCAUAAACGGAACGUGCUUAGGCUGCUUGUCUGGGUGGAUUGGAAAAUAUUGUG
Saccostrea echinata is the source of this 451-nucleotide long non-coding RNA. RefSeq lists it as uncharacterized. Lineage: Eukaryota; Metazoa; Mollusca; Bivalvia; Ostreida; Ostreidae. The record is from RefSeq and is a predicted model, not a curated record. The transcript is spliced from 3 exons.